GGUUAUGGCUCAGUGGUAGAGCGCUUGCCUAGCAUGUGUGAGGCCCUGGGCUCCAUCCCAGAAACCA
This 67-nucleotide transfer RNA is filed under the name Marmota monax (woodchuck). Its description in RNAcentral is "tRNA.Ala". The record is from RNAcentral. Lineage: Eukaryota; Metazoa; Chordata; Mammalia; Rodentia; Sciuridae.